Oncorhynchus keta (chum salmon) is the source of this 5758-nucleotide RNA transcript. It is a transcript of the gene named homeobox protein Nkx-2.1-like, with no coding region annotated. The record is from RefSeq and is a predicted model, not a curated record. The transcript has 4 exons. Lineage: Eukaryota; Metazoa; Chordata; Actinopteri; Salmoniformes; Salmonidae.
CAGCCCAGCUCAACUCAGCUCCCACUCAAUGCAAUUAAGGCGGACUUCAGGCGACUCUCCUACCUACGUGUUCAUCUAGCAAGGAUCGACGUUGAGACAACAGGAACCAGAGAGAAAGAGGGGCUUUGGUCCAACAAAAAACCAGGAGAAAUUGCCUUCUAAUUUCUCCCCUCUCCAACAGCCCAAGAACAAUGUCGAUGAGCCCUAGGCAUACGACUCCUUUUUCUGUUUCCGAUAUCUUGAGUCCUCUUGAGGAGAGCUACAAGAAAGUAAGUAUGGAGAAUAACAACUUGGGGUCACCUCUCGCGUCGUACCGGCAGCCGCAGGUGUCUCAGGCGAUGAUGCAGCAGCACCACAUGGGCCAUAACGGGACGGUGUCCGCGGCAUACCAUAUGACUGCGACGGGGGUGUCCCAGCUGUCACACACCGCAAUGGGGGGCUACUGUAACGGCAACCUGGGGAACAUGAGCGACCUGACGCCCUACCAGGACGGCAUGAGAGGCAGCGCCACGGCCGCUGGCUGGUACGGAGCCAACACAGACCCGCGAUUCUCAACGAUCUCGCGCUUCAUGGGUUCUUCUUCGGGCAUGAACAUGGGCAGUAUGGGCAGCCUUGGCUCGCUAGUAGACGUGGGGAAAGGCAUGGGCCCGCUCUCGAGCACCCCGAGAAGGAAGAGGCGCGUGCUGUUCUCUCAGGCUCAGGUCUACGAGCUCGAGCGGCGAUUCAAACAACAGAAGUACCUAUCGGCGCCUGAGAGAGAACACCUGGCGAGCAUGAUCCACCUCACCCCGACCCAGGUCAAAAUCUGGUUUCAGAACCACCGAUAUAAAAUGAAGAGGCAAGCGAAGGACAAAGUGUCGCAGCAGCAGAUGCAACAGGACAGUAGUUCUUGUCAGCAGCAUUCCCCUCGGCGGGUGGCUGUGCCCGUGUUAGUGAAAGACGGAAAGCCAUGCCAAGGCAGUGCCCACACUCCCACCACUACUGUCCAGGCCCACCACCAACAAGGUGCCAAUGUUAUGAUCAUGUCCAGUAACGGUUCAGGCCUAGGUCAGCACCAGAGCCAACAGGUGGGUAGUGCAGAUCACUCUCCAGACCUAGCACAACACUCCGCCAGCCCACCGUCUCUGCAGACCCAGGUAGCCGGCCUCUCUCACCUGAACUCCUCCAGCGCCGAUUACGGGACGGCCCUGCAGUGCUCUGCUCUGUUAUAUGGCAGGACAUGGUGAUCUGUUAUGCCGCAGGACAUGGUGAUCUGUUAUGCCGCAGGACAUGGUGAUCUGUUAUGCCGCAGGACAUGGUGAUCUGUUAUGCCGCAGGACAUGGUGAUCUGUUAUGCCGCAGGACAUGGUGAUCUGUUAUGCCGCAGGACAUGGUGACAGCCAGACAAACUAUGAUCACAAACACAUAUACAACACUGCUCUCAAAGCUUUUUCAGCAAAGUCACUCAACAGACACGCAAACAAACAAACAAAUUGUACUUUGUGUACAUUUUUAACAACACCAUUUGGUGAAUUUUAGUUCAUGCUCUUCUAAAAUGUAAUUGGAUAUGAGGACAGUAAGUGGAGACGAAAGAAACUCGACAGAUGAAGUUAUGAAGAUAUGCGAGUUCAAUCUUCGCUUUGAAGGUGGAUUUCUUAUUUCUGUAAAUUAUACUGACGCUGUACAGGGCUAGUCCUACAUGAAGAGGUCAUAGGCCCUCCCUACUCCUGUGUGUUGGUCAUUGGGCUAAAGAUCUCAAUAGAAAAACUGUGGGUGCUUUUCAAUUUUUUUCACAGAAGGCUCUGGUUUAUAAUAGAAUUUAAUGUAAAACGUAGCUUGUAUAUUUCUGUAAAAGGUUUGAAUUGAAUAUAUAGUUUUUAGCAAUCUGUUGUACAAAGUUUUUAGCGCUAUUAAUGGCUUGUGGUUGGUUCUUUGAGUUCCAUCGGUAUUUGUACGUUUUAAUUACUUGUAACUUAUAUAGAUAGAUAUUACUUAAAUACAGCCAAACAAUCCUAUUAAUUAUGGUAAUAAAAUUCAUUCAGAGCCAUUUAUUGAAAUUGUUUUGUAUACUGUUUCAGAGAAUGCAUAGGCCUACGAGAAACCUUGUCAAAUUAUUUUCAGAAAACUAAUAGGCCUUUACCUGUAGAAAAUUAAUAUUAUUAUAAUAAAAAUAAUAAUAAAAUAAUAAUAAUAUUAUUAUUGUAGUAGUAAUAAUAAAGAUGAUGAUUCUAAUUAUAAUAAUGCGUGAUCUUGUCUAUAGUCCACUUUAGCUUGUCAAUUCAGUAAGUCUCAAUUUAGACCGAAAUCAUUUUUUGCUGUCUUAUUAUGUUAAAUGCACACAAUAAUGGAUUUUAAGCAAUGCACGACUAAUGAAAACCUGUUUUUGACCAGGUGUGAUCGAAAUCGUUGUUACUAAGUGUUGCUGUGUAGGUAGGCUAAAUUGCUAUUAGCCUAAUGCUAACUUUUGCCUGAUAGAGCUUAACCCCAAUUCCAGGCUCUUUGGUCACGUUUAUUAUAGCUACAAUCAACGGUUGUCAGUAGAUGUGGUUCGUGGUACUCUGUGGCCGUUCCUACAAAACGCGGCGCCUCACAAAUCGUGUAUUGUGUACACACUAUCUCACUUGGAUCACGCUGGGUAAACUCAGGCCAGGUUUUUGUGUGCACUCGGCGUCCCUUAGGUUCUUAGCGUUCUUACGUUCUCUGCCUGUUUCUGGUUUGGGUGAGUCAUUUAGGUGAGGUCUCGAAGCGUUCUUUUUAACACUGGAGAUCAAACACGCGCUGACUAAAAGAACGUCUUAUCGACCAAAUCCCUUGCCAAACAACAGUAUUCUUCUCAAAUAACUUCAAGACAAAUCGUCGUCUCUUAUCAGAGAAAGAAGCUGAAGAUCAGAAAUAUCCCUGGCAUCUCCAAUAUAGAUCAUCUGCUAGUGGAGACCAGACAGAUGGGCUAAAUAAGCAGCCUUUUACUGUGCUGCAGGUGGCUGAUGGUGGAGCAGCAAGAGGCAGCCUCAAUCCCUCUUCAGACCCCUCCACCACCCCAUGACUGCCUCCUCCCUACUCCAACACAAAGUCUUUAGACCUGUAAAAUGCCCCAAAUUCCUAUUCCAAAUCAAGCUAAAAUAAUGUAUCAUCGCCAUGAAGUUAUCCAGGUCAUAAUAAUUCAUAAUUACAAGAAACUUGUAUUUAUUUAGCACCUUUCAUACAAUACAUUGCAGCUUAAAGUGCACUGGUUUGUGCAAAGAUUGUUUCAUGUUAUUUCAAUGAUUGUUUAUUUUGUUUUACAGCACAAUUUCUAAGAUAUUUGCUGAGCACAGAAUCAAAUUUAGAAUCAUAUUAUUUUAUUUAGUAUUUUUUUUAAUAUUAAAAGGAAGUCAGUUAUUCAAUCAUACACAUGCAGUCAGUCAGUAAAUCAGACAAAUGAAAUGAGCAGCAUUUAAUUUUCUAGCUCCUCUCGGCGUGGGAAUACACAACCACAGCUCAGCAUGUCAAAAGAUGUCAAGUGUUACAGUUCCCUUCCUGCUGCAAGGAGAGGAAAAAUCCCCCUAGAAAUGAAUUAAAGUGAAAGGCAAGUCUCUAAACCCUUUCCUAAAAUGAUUAACCCGUCCACCAGGACAUUGUGGAUCAGCUCUGAGUACUCACUGCUUUCUUAUUGCUGUUAAUUGUUCUUUUUCUGUUGUUGCCUUCCUUCAUUAGUCUCCCCUCAUUAUAUGAAAAGAGGGGAAAAUGUCGACCUGAAUAGGGGAAGGAGAUUUUCCCACAGUCCCUCAACACAGAGAAAUACACCAUUGUGGGCCAGGCCAGGCAGGUUCCCAUCCCUUGUGUGAGACACACACACACACACACACACACACACACACACACACACACACACACACACACACACACAUACACACAUACACACAUACACACAUACACACAUACACACAUAUAUAUAUAUAUACACACACUUGAAUGACAAGUCUUUCACUUUGUCUAAAUUGUAAAAUGGUGAAUAAUAUAGUCUGGGUAACAGGGUAAGUACCCCCAGUCAUUCACUUUAUGUCAAACUGAUGGAUCGUUCACUCAGGUAACACUGCAGUGUUUAAUUGGUAUUUUAUAUCAUACCACCUGUGUCCCAAAUGACACCCUAUUCCCUAAAUAGUGCAAUGCUUGUGAAUACUUUUAGCCCAUAGGGUUCUAUAAUACACUAGGAAAAUUGAGUGUCAUUUUGUAUUUGCCUUGGAAUAGUUAAAUGCACAAAUACAACUCAUUUCAAUAAUGAGAAAUACUGCAAUAUGUCAGCAUAAUAUCAUUUCUUUGGAUUAGCGAUGAAUGAACUAAAUGAACCCGUUUGGGGAAUUGUCUGGGCAAAACACUAUGUAACCUAUUGUGAUUAAAAACAAACAAAAACAACAACAAAAACGGUAGCAUUAACAUGUCGUAACAGCUAACAACCUGUUUAUUAUACGGUCAUAACACUGUCCUGACACAUAUUUAAUACCUAUUGUGACAUAUGUUGUGUUAUUUUAUGACUGGUUAUGACCCCUACAUAAGAGUGUCAAAACCUACCACGGUAUUUAUAUUUUGUCUGGUUAUGACCCCUACAUUAGAUUUUAGAAACCCACAAAACCUACCACACAAGGCAAAAUAUUCCAUUACACCAUAGUCUAGGUGUCAGUGUGUUAUGUUAUAUAAUAAUUGAAUAUGUUCAAUAUAUUUCUUUAAUCAUUGUAAUUGUGCACACAUUGAUGUCAGACAUGCACCUACCCCAAUGUUCUGUUGCUGAUGACUGGGAUGAAUGCAGGAGCAGAGUUCAGGAGCAGAGUUCAGGAGCAGGACAAGACACCCUCUUUUUAACUGAUGACUGACAUAAGAGCAUGCACGUGAUAGGCCUAUCUCGCUUAUACCAUUAUGAUGGUCAUAAUGCUUCAUGACAGUGUCAUAGAGUGUGUUUUCUACAAGUUCUUUCGAAUAUGAUGAGAAAAAAACAUGACUGUAAAGAAUUCAUUACAAUAACAACAAAGCACUUAUUAAGAAACAAACGUUGAAAGGAAUCUUCUUGCCAUAGGGACAAAACGAAUUGGAAUAAAUGUGGGUUAUGACAUUCUGUCACAACCAGCCAUAAAAUAACACAAUAUAUGUCACAACAGGUGUAAAUAUAUGGGUCAUGACAGUGUUAUGACCAUAUUAUGACAGGUUAUGUCAGCUGUUAUGACAUAUGACAUAGGUGUCAAAUAAAGUUUAACCCAAAAAACGAUUGUUUAUACAUGAAAGACAUUCUGAGACUAUUAUUUGAUUGCCAGGUCUUUGCUACUAAUACAUAUCACAUUUGAGUGUGGGACAUAAAAGUUAAGUGUUAACUUUAAGUGGUCUAGUCAAAUAUUUAGGACUUUAGUUCUGAGUACAGUUUCAGAUAUGAUGCAUGUUAAAUCAAUAAGCUGUAGAAAGAGGAGGAAGGGAAGCACCACUAAGGUACACAAUAGUAGGUUUUGGUAGACAAAAGGGGUAAAUUGGUCAUCAAAAAGAAAGGAGGACCAAGGCACUCGUAAUAUAAUUAAUUAAGAUGCCUUCAUUUGUAUGGCAUGUUCAAUGGUAACAAAGAUGGAAAAACUCUGACGCAUUUCGAUGAAGGCCAUGCGGACGACAUGUGUAGGAGUUUUUAAACGUUGUUUCUAUUGAACAUGCCAUGCAAAUAAAGGUAUUUUAAUUAAUUAUAUGAAGAGUGUUUGACUAACCAAUUCAUUGGUUCACUUUGUUAGGCGUUUCUGACUUGAGUCCCUGCUGCUAGUCUAAAAAUGUA